RNA transcript from Chenopodium quinoa (quinoa), 3083 nucleotides. RefSeq lists it as uncharacterized. NCBI's taxonomy places the organism in Eukaryota, Viridiplantae, Streptophyta, Magnoliopsida, Caryophyllales, Amaranthaceae. The record is from RefSeq and is a predicted model, not a curated record. The transcript is spliced from 9 exons.
UUAUUUUCAAUAAUUGUAGGCCUUGUUGGGAUAUUAUUUCGUAUAUAGUAGUAAUAUUCCUCAAUAUUGUCUUCACAAAAAAAAAUAGUUCCUCAAAAAAAUGUAGAUAACAAAAUUUGUAUGGACCAGCCCAUAUGAAGUUGAGCUGCUUCUUUCCCACCAUAUCCCCAGCAGGCCCAAUUAUCAGCCCAACAGGCCUAUCCAAAAUGCAAAUUACAAACACAUGUUCUUAGACAACUUUGCAAUGAAUAAACAAUAUUUACUAUACAACCAUUUUAUUACAAGAAUUGUGCAAUUGAAAUGACCAAAAGAAGAUGACAAAACGUCAAAGCCUCGUACUCUUAAAUUGUUACUCUGUAGAAAGACACCAAAUCAAGGAGUGUGUCCUAAUGAAGGAAAUGGUGACUCAAGAAAAACACAAUGUUAUCCUCGUCUUCUUAAAGUCCCCAUUUACAAGAUUUAGUGUCAAGUCUUUCUAAACAUAUAAUCGAAUAUAACUUUUUAAAAUAUUAUUUAUACAUGUAGAGAUAAACUGUAAGAGCGUAGACUUUGAUCAAAUCAAAGCCUGGCAUGGGCUCGUGUUCUAGAUAAUUUGAGGUUGCUGCGACCUUUAAUGAGCCGUAUCAUGAGAACCAAACUUGUUUUCUUAAAUCUCAAUACUAGGUUCAAUUUAAAAGAUACACUAUCAGUCUAUCACCCUCCCAAAAAAAAAAAAAAAAAAAAAAAAGGAAAAAAGAAAACCGGAAAGUAUAUAUAGUCGGCGGUGUUUUUAAUACUCUGAAGUCUGAAGUUCUGAACCUUAACCUUCGUUUUCUCUCCUCCAUUGCAGCAGCUUCUGAGGGAAGUGUGUGAUAAGAAGCCCGGGAAUGGGGUAUCUAUUGGAGCAACCCUUGAGGAGAUGGAUGUUAUUUAUACAUGUUAUGGUUGAUGGAAACGAUCUAGGAAGGUGUAUCUUUCAUAAUCUUGAUCCUAAGAAGAGAGGAAGACUUAAAGGAUCAAUAAAUAAACUUAGUCCUGAAAUUGAAAGAAAGCUUGGUGAUGCUGCUCUUCAUUAUGCAUAUGGACGCUUUAAAGAUGCAAUCAACAUAUUGCUUGAAGUUGUUCAGAUAGCACCAAAUAUAUCUAAUACAUAUCAUACACUUGGCCUUGUACAUAAUUCUAUGGGUGACAAACAUAAAGCUAUGGACUUCUAUGGUAUUGCAGCAAUAAUGAAUCCGAAAGAAUCAUCUGUUUGGACGCAACUUGUGAAUUGGUCCAUUUGCACAAGCAAUGUGGCCAGAUUCAAUCAAUCAGCAUGUUGGAGGACUACCUCAAACAAUCUUCGGAAGCUGAUCUUACUGUCGUUGAUAUGUUGGCUUUGUUAUGCAUGGAAAGGAAUGAGUUUAUGAGAGCUCUUCACCACAUUGAGAAUGUCAAGGUGGUCUGUUGUCGUUCUGGAAAAGAGUUCCCGUUAAUGUUUGAAAAUUAAGUGAAGGUGUUUGUCAUGCUCAUCUUGGGAAAGUAGAGAAAGCAAUGGCAAAACAAAUGUCAAGGCUCCGAAGUUGUGAACCACCAGAGAGAAACAUUUUAGAUCCUGAAAAUGUUGAUCUCAACCUCUGAAGCAGCCUCCAUUGCCUGACCUCUUCAAGGACAAGGAGCAUUCAGCUUUGAUCUUAGAUGUCAGUCUUCAUAUCUUAUGUUAUACUAAUACUUCUUGCUUGAAUCAUGGAGCUUAUAAAGCUCACUUUGAAAGUAGCUUACAAGACAUUGCCUGCUGGGAAGAAGGAACUGUUUGGUCUCUCGGUGCAAAAGUAGCAUUGAGCAGCAUUGACCCCUUGGAGGGGUUUGACUUUGUACGCUACUCUGUUCAGAAGCAUCCACAGAGUAUUGCUGCCUGGAAUUGCUAUUACAGAUUAGUCUUAAGGAAGCCUUGUACAAUAUAGCUCGUGCAUCCCACCACGUCGAACUUGUCUCAUUGGCAGCUAACUAUUAUGAAAAAGUUCUCACAAUAUACCAAGAAGAUUGCCCCUUACCGGAGUUUCUCAAGUGGCAUAAAGAUCCUAUAAAAAGAUCCAGAUUUUGGCUACUGUAAUCUUCAUAGGGAGGCAGCAUACAAUUUGCAUUUGAUCUAAAAAAAGGAGUGGAGCAAAUGAUCUUGCAAGGCAAGGGUAUUGAGGGAUUAUUGCACCUUGUAAGAUGUCUAUAUUAUGAAUGUACAGGGGAGGAAGUCAAUAUAGGCCGUGCGCCAUACAGUGGCGGAGCCAGGAUUUAUAAUUCGGGGGGACAAAUUUUGGAGGUUAAAGUUUCGGCAAAAAUCUCAAGAAAAAAAUUGAUAACCUAAAUUGUUUAAUAUUUAUUUGAAAUCACAUGCCAAUUAUUUCUAUAUGGAAAAAGAGGGGUAAAAAAGUUUUAUUGUAUAUUAAGAAAAUUAUCCAACAAAAAUGAAUAAAUUUAUAUUUGUAAAUCCUGUUAUGUAAUCACAUAAUUGAUAAAUACGAAUUAAUUACCUUAUCAUAAAGUCAAAUAAUUAUCGUUAAAACAAAUUGAUGGUAGAUAUGAAGGGCCAGGGUUUGAGUUACAUUCGAAAAAAUAAACUCAACUUUUUCAAAUCAAUCAUAUUAUUAAUAUGUAUUUCGUUAAAACACAGUUACAAACAAUUAAUUAAUAGUAAUCUAUUUAUUAGAAAUGUAAAAAAAAAUUGAGUUUAAGCACACUUAGUUAAGCGAUAAUUAAAAACAAGAAGUAGGAAAUAAGAAAUAACAUUAAAAAUCCUAAAACAAGAAAUAGGAAAUAAAAAAUCAAAUUAAAAAGGUUGUUGAAAAUUAGAGUAUGUAAUAAAAAAAACAAGAAGUAGGGGAAAAAAAAAACAAAAAAGCUGAAAAACAGUAGAGUAGGGAAUCGAACCUAGGACCAAAACACAGCCUUACUAAGGACUCAACCACCAAACCAUAUUCAAUAUUGUGAUAUCUACUGUAAGUAUAUGUUAUUUAUAGCCUUUUACUGUAUUUUCUUGAUUUUUUUUUUUUAAAAAAAAACUUUUUUUCCGAAAAUGGGGGGACAACUGUCCCCCCUUGUUCUAAUGUGGCUCCGCCACUGGCGCCAUA